RNAcentral lists this ribosomal RNA (432 nucleotides) under uncultured bacterium. Its description in RNAcentral is "partial 16S ribosomal RNA". It matches the Rfam family "Bacterial small subunit ribosomal RNA", at positions 338 to 795 of the family's 1533-position model. The record is from RNAcentral.
CCUACGGGAGGCAGCAGUAGGGAAUAUUGGACAAUGGGGGCAACCCUGAUCCAGCCAUGCCGCGUGAGUGAUGAAGGCCUUCGGGUUGUAAAGCUCUUUUGGCGGGGACGCGGUACCCGCAGAAUAAGCCCCGGCUAACUUCGUGCCAGCAGCCGCGGUAAUACGAAGGGGGCAAGCGUUGUUCGGAGUUACUGGGCGUAAAGGGCGCGUAGGCGGCAGGUUAAGUCAGAUGUGAAAGCCCUGGGCUCAACCCGGGAUGUGCAUUUGAUACUAGCCCGCUAGAAUCCGGGAGAGGUUGGUGGAAUUCCCAGUGUAGAGGUGAAAUUCGUAGAGAUUGGGAAGAACACCGGAGGCGAAGGCGGCCAACUGGUCCGGAUUGACGCUGAGGCGCGAAAGCGUGGGGAGCAAACAGGAUUAGAUACCCUUGUAGUC